UCCCGAUUUCUCUAUCUUAGUUCUCGAACUAAAUAGAUAAUUGCAUAAGAUAAAUAAAUAAAAAUAUGCAAUCUUGUCCGGCUAGAUAGCCUGAAGGGCCAUUAAUUCAUGAGCAGUUGGAGCCCACAAUCUCAAACAGGCCAAACCUGACAAGCGGCCCAAUAUAAAUGUUGGCCUGCGCGUGACCCUACGACGUGGAGGCGACCGCGCCCAUCAGCUCUUGUGACAUGCACGGUAGAUGUGGGUACGUGUACGAAUGCC
RNAcentral lists this long non-coding RNA (261 nucleotides) under Elaeis guineensis (African oil palm). RNAcentral describes it as "long non-coding RNA (EGUI_LNC075176)". Lineage: Eukaryota; Viridiplantae; Streptophyta; Magnoliopsida; Arecales; Arecaceae. The record is from RNAcentral.